AAGAAUGUUUACCACUAAAAUAUGACUAUUGUUUUCAGCAGCUUACAACAUUUCAAAUAACUUGGCUUCGUUCUUUUUCGCAUUUCGGGAAAACAACUAUUGCCAAGAAAGACAGGAAUUUCCGUCAUUCUAGAUCCAUCAAGUCAGCAGAGAAAAUUCGGAUCCACAGUGUUGAUCCCUGUCCUUUUUCACGAGACAAUGUCAAGCUCAAAUUCUCAAGUUUCCACUAAAGACUAAAUAUGUACAGCACAUUUAAACUUGGGUAACAGCUACCUCUCAGCUCAAAAAAGAAAAACAAUUGAUCGUGUGUUUCGUCUGCUUUUGUCGUCUGCAAAGUGCAUCAAACGCCACAAAUCGCUCCAAAUUUACUGGCAGCAAUUUUAAAAUUAACACUGUUUUGUUGAAAAAAAAACACAGUAUGCUUCAGUCCUUAAUUCUUGUGAUGCACUUCAAUGAUACAGUUGGAAUUUUCGAUUCUGAAAAUACGAUUGCAGCAGCUGUUGAAGUGUCAUUUCCAUGGAAUAAAUCCUAACUGAUCUUGCACUUCAGGCAUGAACAAACUACCACCAACAGAUUCUGUCAUCAAAUUGUUGUCUAAACUAUCAGUGCUUGGGCAGCAGUUAAUUGUAUCAAGCUGCAUUAAUUUUGGCACUUUCACAUUACUUCCUGAUUGUUCCCGAAUGGAAGACACAACUACAGAAUUUUAUGAUAAAUGUAUGGUUUAUUACCAUCAUUUCUUAGUUAUAUGGUGGUUAAAUUUUAUUAUGUGUAGCCUCAGCCUCACUUUAUCUUUUGACUACAGACACUGUGUACUUCGUAGUUUAGUGGUUUUCAUUCUGACAAUCUGGGAAUUCACAUUUCUUCAUUCUUCCUCAACUGCUGAUGAUUCUCUCAUGCCUCUUUUUGUUUUUGUUUUCCGUUCUAUGAUAUUUGGAUUGCUAUUAUGGGAUAUCAUUAUAGAUGUUGACUUCAGAAAUUGCAUCUUGUUAGUUUAUGAUCAUUUCAUUGGUGAAAUUGUUAACCCCUUCUUUGAUUUCCUGGAAGAUUAUGUUGAUGCUGUUGAUGAAUUGCCUUGGGUCUGGAAUUUGAUAGAUGGAUUGGAUGAAAUUUCUAAGUUUGCCUUGUGUACAAAUGCAUGAUUUGAUGAUUUCAUGUCCAGCAGUCAAACAUCACAACUCCCAAGACAAUUUAGUUAUUCUUCUUAGUUUCCCUGUGAACUGUGAUGAGCUUGAAAAAAAUUUACAAGUCAUUAAAUUCAUCUAUGAUGCCAAUGUGAAACAAACCUUUUUUUAUAUUGUAGCCUCCAUUCAUUCUGUGAAAGCGAUAAUUGUCAAUUCAAGCAAUUAUAAAAAACGAUUUAAUUUAUUUUUAGUGGAAUGUAAGCCAAUAUGUACAAUAAUAUAUAAAUUAUCAUUGAA
Molecule: long non-coding RNA, 1418 nt
Filed under: Daphnia pulex (common water flea)
Lineage: Eukaryota; Metazoa; Arthropoda; Branchiopoda; Diplostraca; Daphniidae
Description: uncharacterized LOC124210445, transcript variant X1
Source: RNAcentral